Molecule: ribosomal RNA, 1371 nt
Filed under: uncultured bacterium
Lineage: Bacteria
Description: bacterial SSU rRNA
Rfam family: Bacterial small subunit ribosomal RNA
Source: RNAcentral
GAUGAACGCUGGCGGCGUGCCUAAUACAUGCAAGUCGAGCGAACGGACGAGAAGCUUGCUUCUCUGAUGUUAGCGGCGGACGGGUGAGUAACACGUGGAUAACCUACCUAUAAGACUGGGAUAACUUCGGGAAACCGGAGCUAAUACCGGAUAAUAUUUUGAACCGCAUGGUUCAAAAGUGAAAGACGGUCUUGCUGUCACUUAUAGAUGGAUCCGCGCUGCAUUAGCUAGUUGGUAAGGUAACGGCUUACCAAGGCAACGAUGCAUAGCCGACCUGAGAGGGUGAUCGGCCACACUGGAACUGAGACACGGUCCAGACUCCUACGGGAGGCAGCAGUAGGGAAUCUUCCGCAAUGGGCGAAAGCCUGACGGAGCAACGCCGCGUGAGUGAUGAAGGUCUUCGGAUCGUAAAACUCUGUUAUUAGGGAAGAACAUAUGUGUAAGUAACUGUGCACAUCUUGACGGUACCUAAUCAGAAAGCCACGGCUAACUACGUGCCAGCAGCCGCGGUAAUACGUAGGUGGCAAGCGUUAUCCGGAAUUAUUGGGCGUAAAGCGCGCGUAGCGGUUUUUUAAGUCUGAUGUGAAAGCCCACGGCUCAACCGGGGAGGGUCAUUGGAAACUGGAAAACUUGAGUGCAGAAGAGGAAAGUGGAAUUCCAUGUGUAGCGGUGAAAUGCGCAGAGAUAUGGAGGAACACCAGUGGCGAAGGCGACUUUCUGGUCUGUAACUGACGCUGAUGUGCGAAAGCGUGGGGAUCAAACAGGAUUAGAUACCCUGGUAGUCCACGCCGUAAACGAUGAGUGCUAAGUGUUAGGGGGUUUCCGCCCCUUAGUGCUGCAGCUAACGCAUUAAGCACUCCGCCUGGGGAGUACGACCGCAAGGUUGAAACUCAAAGGAAUUGACGGGGACCCGCACAAGCGGUGGAGCAUGUGGUUUAAUUCGAAGCAACGCGAAGAACCUUACCAAAUCUUGACAUCCUUUGACAACUCUAGAGAUAGAGCCUUCCCCUUCGGGGGACAAAGUGACAGGUGGUGCAUGGUUGUCGUCAGCUCGUGUCGUGAGAUGUUGGGUUAAGUCCCGCAACGAGCGCAACCCUUAAGCUUAGUUGCCAUCAUUAAGUUGGGCACUCUAAGUUGACUGCCGGUGACAAACCGGAGGAAGGUGGGGAUGACGUCAAAUCAUCAUGCCCCUUAUGAUUUGGGCUACACACGUGCUACAAUGGACAAUACAAAGGGCAGCGAAACCGCGAGGUCAAGCAAAUCCCAUAAAGUUGUUCUCAGUUCGGAUUGUAGUCUGCAACUCGACUACAUGAAGCUGGAAUCGCUAGUAAUCGUAGAUCAGCAUGCUACGGUGAAUACGUUCCCGGGUCU